This 434-nucleotide ribosomal RNA is filed under the name uncultured bacterium. RNAcentral describes it as "bacterial SSU rRNA". It matches the Rfam family "Bacterial small subunit ribosomal RNA", at positions 954 to 1392 of the family's 1533-position model. The record is from RNAcentral.
GCAUAACGCGAAGAACCUUACCCACCUUUGACAUGUACGGAAUCCUGCAGAGAUGCGGGAGUGCUCGCAAGAGAGCCGUAACACAGGUGCUGCAUGGCUGUCGUCAGCUCGUGUCGUGAGAUGUUGGGUUAAGUCCCGCAACGAGCGCAACCCUUGCCAUCAGUUGCUACGAAAGGGCACUCUGAUGGGACUGCCGGUGACAAACCGGAGGAAGGUGGGGAUGACGUCAAGUCCUCAUGGCCCUUAUAGGUGGGGCUACACACGUCAUACAAUGGCCGGUACAAAGGGCAGCGAAGCCGCGAGGUGAAGCCAAUCCCAUAAAGCCGGUCGUAGUCCGGAUCGCAGUCUGCAACUCGACUGCGUGAAGUCGGAAUCGCUAGUAAUCGUGGAUCAGCAUGUCACGGUGAAUACGUUCCCGGGUCUUGUACACACCG